This 2004-nucleotide long non-coding RNA is filed under the name Sus scrofa (pig). RNAcentral's name for it is "lncRNA (ENSSSCG00070024280.1)". Lineage: Eukaryota; Metazoa; Chordata; Mammalia; Artiodactyla; Suidae. The record is from RNAcentral.
AUGGGGUGUGACAGCAUAUGCAAAUCUCUUGUCCUGUUCCCCAUCACAUUGUUUCCUACAACAUAUUUAUCAAAUAAAUUUAGAAAACAUAAUCCCAUAGAUAAAACUGAAGUUAAACUUUUCAUUUUUGGUUCCCUCAGGAGGUUCCAUUCACAACUCUCACAGAAUCGCAUGGUUACCGUGACCCACAUUCUCGUUUUAUGCUUCCGUGUUUAUUUCUUAAUUUUUUUUUUUUUUUUUGUCUUUGGUGGCAUAAUUUUGAAAGUAAAAAAUUAGAAGGUAUGGUCAAGAAAUAGUCAUUUUAAAUUGGUGUCACAUAAUUUUCUCAUGGUUUACAAUUGCAGUUAAUCUAGAUUGGUUGACUCUCAGAAAUUUUGAUGUAGUAAGUGUUAGUUUCAAGCUACUAAAUUUUGAGGAAAUUUGUUAUGCAAUACUUGAUAACAAUUGAGGCUGUAUUUUUGGUUGAUGGGAAUGUAUUUCUGAUGAUUUGGGGACUCCAUUUUAGAGAGUUUAACAAAAUUAUCUGUGUUAACAGCCUUCUUUCUAAAAUGUUUAAAGACAGUACUAGAUAUUAUUUUUCUCUCUCUGCUCCCACCCUUCUCUAAACACAAUCUUUGAAAAGGAGGCAUUUUGCAUGUUAUUCACUGUGCUUUUCCAAGAGAUCCAACGCUCUUUAGUUCUAAAGUUGUAAUGAGGAUUAUGUUGACCUUUCCCGAGAGUUGAUUAUCUUCCAAGCAUUCUAUACAGCAAUUGUACAAUGGGCCCAACUUAAAAACUGAAUCUGACAUUGGGCUGUGUAUCUCUGUUUAGAUAUAUCCACUUGCAGAAUUCUGAUUUUCUUACCUGCACAGUUUUUUUUUUUUUAAUGUAGUCAUAUACUGUCAGCCUCUAGCUUCAGUGAUGUUGUGAUUGAGAUGAGUUCUUAGGAGGUGAAUUGACUGAGUGCUGAAGCUCAGUCCCAGGAGGUGAGGGGAUGACCUUCACUUCCCCCUCUUAGAGGUCACACACUGUCUCCUCUGCCGUAUUCUACUGAUCACACAAACCAGUUAUGAUUCACUGUGGGAAAAGACUAGAAAAGGGUGUGAAUUCCAGGGAGUGAAUCAGUGGGGGCCAUCUUAAGGCUGGCACACACUAUGUCUAUAAUUUAAUUUCCUCAUACUUGUGCUUUAACUUUUUCUCCUUAGAACUUAGUAUUAUUUAAAUUACUUUAUUCAUUUUGCUUAGUCAUUGUCUUUUUCACACAGUAGAAUGUAUGUGCCUCAAGGACAUGAGAAAUUUCAGUUUAUUUUGUGGCAACAGAUAUUGUGUGUUUUCUGGUCACCCAGUGUCUGUGUUCUACCUUCUGCUCAGAGAAGCUGGAUUUCCUUUUGCGUUAUCGCUUUCCCCUACUAGGUCUUCUUUUUUUUUUGUUUGUUCACUAUUCUGUUCCUUCUAAGACCAUAAAGGCGUUGUGGCUUCUGCCUUGGUCUCAACUGAAUUUUUCCUCUGGAACAAGCUGCCCCCCUAACAUGGGACCCUGGGGAAGAAGUGAGGUUCCCAUCAACAGCAGCACCAUCUUGCCAUGCAUGUGAGUGAACCAAUUUGGAAGUGUAUCUUCUAGUCUAAGUUCAGCUGCAGGGCCCAAAAGACUUCUUCUUUUUUUUUUUGCUUUUCAGGGCUGCACCCACGGCAUACAGAGGUUCCUAGGCUAGGGGUUGCAUCAGAGCUGCAGCUUCUGGCCUAUGCCACGGCCACAGCAAUAUGGGAUCUGAGCCCAGUCUUCGACCUACACCACAGCUCACAGCAAUGCUGGAUCCUUAACCCACUGAGUGAGGCCAGGGAUCGAACCUGCAACCUCAUGGUUUCUAGUUGGAUUCAUUUCCACUGCACCACGGUAGGAACUCCAGACAUCUUUGUGAUUCCAGUUUCAUUAGAAAGUCUGAGUCAGGGCCAGCCAGCUGAGCCAUUGCCAAACACUGACCUACAGAUAAUAAAUGCUUGUUGAUGUUUUGAGCUACCGAGUUU